GCCAGGCGUGGUGGCACACGCCUGUAGUUCCAGCUACUUGGGAGGCUGAGGUGGGAGGAUCACUUGAACUCAGGAGGCAGGGGUUGCAGUGAGCCGAGAUUAUGCCACUGCAUUCCAGCCUGGGUGACAGAGUGAGACUCUGUCUCAA
Molecule: non-coding RNA, 148 nt
Filed under: Nomascus leucogenys (northern white-cheeked gibbon)
Lineage: Eukaryota; Metazoa; Chordata; Mammalia; Primates; Hylobatidae
Source: Rfam by way of RNAcentral